RNAcentral lists this ribosomal RNA (491 nucleotides) under Loepa formosensis. RNAcentral's name for it is "partial 16S ribosomal RNA". The record is from RNAcentral. Lineage: Eukaryota; Metazoa; Arthropoda; Insecta; Lepidoptera; Saturniidae.
GCCUGUUUAUCAAAAACAUGUCUUUUUGUUCAUAAUUUAAAGUUUAAUCUGCCCACUGAUAUAUUAUUAUUAAAGGGCUGCAGUAAUUUGACUGUACAAAGGUAGCAUAAUCAUUAGUCUUUUAAUUGGUGACUUGUAUGAAAGAUUGGAUGAAAUAUAAACUGUCUUAAAAAUAAAUUAUUGAAUUUAAUUUUUUAAUUAAAAAGUUAAAAUAUAUUAAAAAGACGAGAAGACCCUAUAGAGUUUUAUAUUUAAUUAAAUUUAAAUUAUAUGUUAAUUAAUAAAUUAUAGAUUUUUUUUAAUAUUUUAUUGGGGUGAUAAAAAAAUAAAAAAAACUUUUUUUUAAUUUAAACGUAGAUAAAUGAUUUUAUGAUCCAAUUAAUAUUGAUUAAAAGAAAAAAUUACCUUAGGGAUAACAGCGUAAUUUUUUUUUUUAGUUCUUAUAAGAAAAAGAGUUUGCGACCUCGAUGUUGGAUUAAGAUAAAAUUUAA